CACGUAGGCGGAUACUUAAGUUAGGGUGAAAUCCCAGAGCUCAACUCUGGAACUGCCUUUAAUACUGGGUAUCUCGAGUCCGAGAGAGGUGAGUGGAAUUCCGAGUGUAGAGGUGAAAUUCGUAGAUAUUCGGAGGAACACCAGUGGCGAAGGCGGCUCACUGGCUCGGUACUGACGCUGAGGUGCGAAAGCGUGGGGAGCAAACA
Molecule: ribosomal RNA, 206 nt
Filed under: uncultured bacterium
Lineage: Bacteria
Description: partial 16S ribosomal RNA
Rfam family: Bacterial small subunit ribosomal RNA
Source: RNAcentral